UUUUAAAUAUUAUUUUUUACGACAAACCUAGCCCCCCUUAAAAUGACAGUCUGGGGCGAGCCCCAAGAAUAAAUAACAAGCGUCGACGAAAACCAAAACAAAAACAAAAGUUAGUCCGUAUAAGGCAAAAACAAGGGGAGAGCCCAGAGAGAGGGAGAGCGAGAGAGCGCGCUCCACGACCAGCUGUUGGGUUUCCGUGGUCGUCGGCGGAGGGGGCGGAGGGGAGCCCAAGUGUUGUGGCCCCUCUCUUUCUGGGGCUCUGCGUCGUCCGUAGAGCCAUCGUCGGGGGCGUUCGUUGCCACACCGAGCCCAGGGAUCACAAAACUCACGGAUCUACGUACUCGAGUGGAAGUGGAGCACGUUCUGGAAAUGCGGAAAACGCAGUUUUCCCCAAGCUCCAAUUACGCACUUGGCAGCGCAAUUACCGAGGAAUGGUGUGGCUGAAUUGCUGGCAAGUAGUGGAGCACUCUGCCUGGAAAAGCGAUUUUCGCUGCCGCACGUCACGUCGCACUCGAGCCACCAACGAAAGUGAACUGCCAAUUCCGCAGGGCCCCAAAUCGAGGAAAACUAAACUAAGCACUCGUUGUAACGGACGCAAACGCGCAUCUCGGUUUAGGGGGACCGCAGGUGGGGGCGCCAAAAAAUACCACGGUCCCCCGGCGCUGCCAUCUGAAGUUCCGCGGGGUCCAGUGCUGCCAGAUCUGGUAUUGUGAUCAUGAUGAUUUGAUAUAUCUGACAUUUGAUAUAUCUGAUAAAGGUUUAACUAUUCUUAUUUUAGAAGGAGUUAAGCCUUAAUUAAAAAUUAAAUGUAUAACGAAUUCGAAUUUUAAGGACGUAAAUAAACUGUCUAUGACUAUUUUGCAUAAGCUA
Drosophila biarmipes is the source of this 870-nucleotide long non-coding RNA. RefSeq lists it as uncharacterized. The transcript is spliced from 2 exons. The record is from RefSeq and is a predicted model, not a curated record. NCBI's taxonomy places the organism in Eukaryota, Metazoa, Arthropoda, Insecta, Diptera, Drosophilidae.